Sphaerobolus stellatus SS14 is the source of this 94-nucleotide non-coding RNA. The record is from the annotation of a GenBank genome assembly. Lineage: Eukaryota; Fungi; Basidiomycota; Agaricomycetes; Geastrales; Sphaerobolaceae.
UCUCAGGUAGUAUAGUGGUUAGUAUUCGCGCCUGUCAUAUUAUGUGAUCAGGGCGUGAGCGCGCGAGACCGGGGUUCAAUUCCCCGCCUGAGAG